RNAcentral lists this unclassified non-coding RNA (4549 nucleotides) under Lucilia cuprina (Australian sheep blowfly). Its description in RNAcentral is "homeotic protein spalt-major, transcript variant X1". Lineage: Eukaryota; Metazoa; Arthropoda; Insecta; Diptera; Calliphoridae. The record is from RNAcentral.
UUGAAAACAAAAAUAUUUUAACGCGUGUGUUCUAAAAAAGAAAGCUUUUUAAAGUUUUGAAAAGUUUUGUUUUUUUUUUAAAAAGUUUUUCGUUGUGCUUAUUUUCUGGUAUCUUCUCUAAUGAAAAAUAUUUUAUCAACUGUUUUGUGUGAAAUGAGAAGUGAUUUUAAGGAAACCCAUCAAGAAACCAUUAAUAAAAUGAUACAAUUUGGUACUGUCAAAUAUGGAAUUGUUAAACAAUUAAAAGAUCGUGCUAAAAGCACUGAAAAAGAUUCAGCCAGUGAUCAUGAGGAGAAUGGUACAUGUUCACCUUUGGCUGCCACAACCGCCAAUGAAGAUAGUGAUUGCGAUAGAGCAGAAUUAACUCAUAUGGCCACUAGUAAUGAACAUGUUAAUAAAAUUAACACAGCAACACCCGCCGAUAAACAACAACAACAACAGCAACAGACUACUACAUCAGAAGGCUUAGUAACAGGAGAAGAUCUUAAUCAUAAUAAUAACAUAGUAAUGCCGUUGGAAGAACAACAACAGCAGCAACAACAGCAGCAGCAACAGCAGGAGUUAAAGAUACAAUCUCCCUCAAGAACAGAAGAAUUAAAUACGGUUUUAACACCCUCUAAAACAUAUCCAAAAGAUCAAGAAUUUCCCUCACCUACACCACCGGAUCUUAACGAAAGUCAAGAACCCCUAAGAAAAGCUCAAGAGGCCAGUGAAGAAGCUAACGAAACUGAAUCUUCAACAAUACAAGAAGAAGAAGAAAAAGAAAACAUGUGCUUAACAUCGGGUAAAUUGGAAAAUCCUACCAACAAGGAUGAUAUAAAAAGCAUAGAAGAAGAACAAAAUAAAGUGCUACCAGCACAAGAAAUGGAAGAAGCUAACGCCACAGUCAGUGCAGAGAAAUCGGCAAAUAAAGAUAUGGAAAUGGAUGUGGCAGAAUCUACUACACCCUCAAUGCCUGCCGCUUUAGCGCAACAAUUUGGUGCCGCACCUGUUAAUAUUGAAGCCAUUAAGAAUAUGCAGUUGGCCAUAGCCCAAGUGGCAGCUAAAACUAUUGCUAAUGGUGCUUCUGGUCAAGAUAAUGAGGCUGCCAUGAAACAAUUGGCUUUCCUGCAACAGACACUCUUUAAUCUGCAACAACAGCAGCUAUUUCAAAUUCAACUUAUACAACAGCUGCAGUCGCAAUUGGCCAUGAAUCAACCCAAAACGGGUGAGGAAGCCAAUGAAAUGGAUGAAGAGGAAGAAGAAGAGGGUGAGAAUGGUGAGGAGGAUACGUAUGAGGAAGAAGAGCGUAUAGCUCAAAUGGAAUUGAGACAGAAAGCUGAAGCCCGCAUGGCUGAAGAUAAGGCUAGACAGCAUUUAAUCAAUGCUGGUGUUCCUCUAGAUUCACUUAAAAGAAAACGUGAUAGCGAAAACGCCGAAGACAUGGAUGUUUCAGCCUCACGACGCAUUAGUGUUGACAAAAGCUCCGAAUAUGCUUUGGAUAAACUUAAGGAUAUGGAAAAUAGGCCCUUGCCUUUUGGCUCCAAUUUAGCCUCCUCCAUUAUAACUCAUCACGAUGAUAUGCCAGAACCCAACUCCUUGGACUUGUUGCAGAAGAGAGCUCAAGAAGUAUUGGAUUCAGCUUCUCAGGGUAUUUUAGCCAAUAAUAUGGCUGAUGAAUUUGCAUUCAAAGAGAAAAAUGGGAAGGCCGGCAAUGAACCGUUCUUCAAGCACAGAUGUCGCUAUUGCGGCAAAGUCUUUGGUUCGGAUUCUGCCUUACAGAUUCACAUUAGAUCUCAUACGGGCGAACGUCCCUUCAAGUGCAAUGUUUGCGGCAGCAGAUUCACCACCAAAGGAAAUUUAAAAGUGCAUUUCCAAAGACAUGCUCACAAAUUCCCUCAUGUACCUAUGAAUGCCACCCCCAUACCAGAGCAUUUGGAUAAAUUCCAUCCUCCCCUAUUGGAUCAAAUGUCACCGGAUAGUUCUCCCAGCCAUACACCUGCCGCCAUGCCACAACAAAUGCCCAGUCAAAUGCCAGCCAUGAAUUUCCCAGGAGCUUCUAGCAAUUUUCCUGGAUUGGCUAAUCUCUACAGACCUCCCAUGGACAUAUUGAAGUCAUUGUCAGCUUCAUCGGGUGCCGCUGGAUUCAGCAAUCCUUUCUUCCCUCAGGUUCCUGGUAAUUUGGGAGAAGCAGCUGUACAAGCUCAAGCAGCUGCCCAAGCUGUUUUGAAUAAAAAUCAGGAAAUUCCUACGGAUUUAAGUAAAACCUCGGAGCCCAGUUCUCCUGUCAACACACAGAUAAAGUCAGAGAUCUGUGAGGAAAAGGAGGAAGAGGAACAUGAACAAGAACAAGAAGAAAUGGCCACCAAACCAGACACCACAACUGAGGCACCCAAAACAUCAACUCCCACUCCUUUGGACAUAAAGAUCAAAGAAGAGAAAGAUGAUUGUGAAAUUGUACAAGAUGAUAUGGAAGAAGAUAGAAUACACACUCCCUUACCAGCACCAGCUACAGUCAGUCCCGCCAUCUCUGCACACUCACCUUCUUUAAUCAAUUCCCUACCCCAAGUACCUAAUAGCCCGCCUGUACCCACCUCAAAACCACCCACCAUUCAACAAUUACCGCCGGUAGUACAACCCAUACAACCACCUGCCAUUUUACAUCCACAACCUUCACCGGGUUCUCAACAUCAUUUGGAUCAUUUACCCACACCCGGACAGCUGCCACCUUCUAUGCAUCAUCGUGAUGACUUCUUUGCCGAACGUUUCCCUCUGAACUUUACCAAAACAUUGUCGCCCGAAAGACACUCGCCCAUAAGAUCGCCAGCGCAUAUACCACGUGCUCCCUUCUUUAAUCCCAUGAAACCUCAUGAUAUGGCUUUAUUGCCGCGUCCUCAUAGCAAUGAUAAUUCCUGGGAGAAUUUCAUAGAGAUUUCGAAUUCUUCGGAGACCAUGAAGUUAAAGGAAUUGAUGAAGAAUAAGAAAAUCACCGAUCCCAAUCAAUGUGUGGUGUGUGAUCGUGUUUUAUCGUGCAAAAGUGCUCUACAAAUGCACUAUCGCACCCAUACCGGCGAAAGACCUUUCAAGUGUCGCAUUUGUGGUCGUGCUUUCACCACUAAAGGCAAUUUGAAAACUCACAUGGCUGUGCAUAAAAUAAGACCGCCCAUGCGUAAUUUCCAUCAGUGUCCAGUGUGUCAUAAGAAAUACUCCAACGCUUUAGUGCUGCAACAACACAUACGCUUGCAUACUGGAGAACCCACAGAUUUGACACCCGAACAAAUACAAGCAGCCGAAAUACGUGAUCCUCCACCAUCUAUGAUGCCAGGUGCUUUCAUGAAUCCUUUUGCUGCCGCCGCUUUCCACUUCGGUAUGCCUGGCGGUCCUGGCAUGCAUCCGGGUAUGCACGGUAUGCAUAAUGGCUUAGGUUCGGAAUCUUCUCAGGGUGACUACGAUGAUCAAAUGGAUUGUGGAGAUGAUUACGACGAUGAUAUGUCUUCUGAUCAUAUGUCCAAUAGCAAUGAUUUGGAACCGGGUAGUGAGAGACCAAAGUCAACUGAUGAUUUCAAAGGUUUAUUGUUUGAGCAAAAGCUAAGAAUAGAUCCUACUGGAGUGGUUAAUACAAAUCCUAGACCUCAAUCGGCCACCUCGAAUGCAAAUUCAAUAAGUUCGCCUCCCACCAGCCCAACAACUGCAUCAAAACCUUUGAGUUCUACACGCGCUACUUCACCAGCCAGAUCAGCUUCGGAAAUGUCACAAGGAGCUUUAGAUUUGACACCACGUGCUGGACCCUCUUCGGCCAAUAGCAGCAUUAGCGCUCGUUCGCCGCUACCUAGCAAUGCUGGCAAACGUUCACCUUCUCCCGUUAGCAAAUCUCCAAAACUACCACAAAUCAGCCCCUCAGCCGUUAUGCCACCAACUUCUGCAGUCGAUUGUCUACCACCCGGUCUACAUCACCACUUGCAGCAGCAACAUCAACAACUAAUGCAACAGCAAGCAGCCUUGGCUGCCGCUCAACAUCACCAGCAAAUGCAACACAAUGCCGUCGUAGCCAUGCAUCAAGAACAACUAAGACGUGAAGCAGUUGCACAUGCGCAACUCUCACCGAAUGCCCCACCAUCGAUGUCACAGCAGCCAACAACUGGACAAGGUUCCGCCACCAGCUCACCGCAAAUACCACAUCCACAAGCGGGAAAUCCAUUGGUAGCAGCUGCCAGACCACCAUUUGGCAUGUUUCCAAAUCUCCCGCUGUUUCCACCGGCUUCCACGCAAAACAUGUGCACCGCAAUGAAUUCAAUAGCACAGUCUGUUAUGCCGGCGGCACCAUUUAAUCCUUUAGCUCUAUCGGGUGAGUUGAGUCAGAGGCAGCACUACUUGCGGCAUUUGUUUCAAAACAUUCCCCUGCCAUUCGGCUUUGGAGAUUCAUUAUAGAAGUCAUACUAAAGAGAGACCAUUUAAAUGUAAUAUAUGUGAUCGUGGCUUUACAACAAAGGGUAACUUAAAACAACAUAUGCUUACCCAUAAAAUUCGUGAUAUGGAACAGGAAACUUUCCGAAAUAGAGCUGUCAAGUAU